Molecule: ribosomal RNA, 450 nt
Filed under: uncultured bacterium
Lineage: Bacteria
Description: bacterial SSU rRNA
Rfam family: Bacterial small subunit ribosomal RNA
Source: RNAcentral
AACGAACGCUGGCGGCAGGCUUAACACAUGCAAGUCGAGCGCGUGGCAACACGAGCGGCAGACGGGUGAGUAACGCGUGGGAACGUACCCUUUACUACGGAAUAACGCAGGGAAACUUGUGCUAAUACCGUAUGUGCCCUUCGGGGGAAAGAUUUAUCGGUAAAGGAUCGGCCCGCGUUGGAUUAGCUAGUUGGUGGGGUAAAGGCCUACCAAGGCGACGAUCCAUAGCUGGUCUGAGAGGAUGAUCAGCCACAUUGGGACUGAGACACGGCCCAAACUCCUACGGGAGGCAGCAGUGGGGAAUAUUGGACAAUGGGCGCAAGCCUGAUCCAGCCAUGCCGCGUGAGUGAUGAAGGCCUUAGGGUUGUAAAGCUCUUUCACCGGGGAAGAUAAUGACGGUACCCGGAGAAGAAGCCCCGGCUAACUUCGUGCCAGCAGCCGCGGUAAAAC